UGAAUACUUCGGGCCCUAAAUGGCUGGGAU
Molecule: non-coding RNA, 30 nt
Filed under: Mus musculus (house mouse)
Lineage: Eukaryota; Metazoa; Chordata; Mammalia; Rodentia; Muridae
Source: RNAcentral